CCGUUCUACCUCCGUCCGCUGUACGGCGCCUCUCUUCCACUCUGUUUCCCUCCCUCGCUCCCCUUCCUAGCUUCAAAGUUCCAAGUUCCCCCCCUAAACUCCUCCAAGAGCCCCCAAACCCUUUCGUUUUUUAUCUGAUUACGACGAUAUUAUCCGCUGGGUGAAGAUCUUCUCCUCGAUUUUGUGUUUAUCUCAAAGGAUUUUUCCUCCAGAUUGUUCGCUGGCUGAAGAAUCCCCAUCUCCGGCAGCUUUUGAUGAAUCUGCCAGGAGGUAUUAGUGGCCGGGUCUAAGGAGAGCGACAUUCAUGUUCAGUAAAACACAAUCUUAAAACCUGAAAGUUAUGUGGAAAUCAAGCCUCUUCACAUCAAGACAUACUCGUGGAGACAUCCGCAGCAUUACCUACUGGUGGGGUUGGUGAUGCCACAUGGUAGGUGUUGCUGCAUGGCUGCUAAAUGAUGCUAUAGCAUAAGAGCACCAGGUGGAGUUGGCACUCGGAAAUGUAUCAUUCAACAUUGUGCAAGCUCAAUUCCUUGGAUAAAAUGAUGAAAUGCUGUUUGAGACAGUUUGUCCCUCUAAGGCAUAGGUCAGAGAACUAGUAAAUGUGGGGUCUUGGUUGCAAGCUGAAAGGUGAGAAAAUGGGGACAUCCUUUUGAAAACAGAAAAUGGAGGAGAUAUUACGAAAGUCUCCAGGCACUUGACCUUGGAUCCUUCUAAAUGGUGAAGUAGGAUUCAUAAAGCCUGCCUAUUAUUGAUGGGUUAAAGAUUGUUCUCCGCACAUAUGUUGCUCUGUAAUUAAUUCAUUUUGUGUCAACAAAUUAAUGUACUCUUGUUUCCAUUUAAAAAUUAAUGAAGUUUAUCUAUCAUGUUUAUAAGAUCUAACUUUUAAAAUUUACUUGCUCAGAAUGAUUUGAAUUAUGUUGGCAGUUCAGAACCCAAUAGAUCUCAUAAGUUUUUCCUUCCAUGCAGUUUCUGUAAUCCUUUUUUUGACACAACUUCUCUUUCAGGAACUGGAGGUAAACCACCCUUACCAAGCUUUGUCUUUGGUUGGCUUGAUGAUGGGAAUACAUUUCAAGCAGGUGAUGUAGCAACUAUUAAGAUCAAGCUUUUGGAUGAUGCUUUCAAUGAUAAAAAUUUUAAUUUUAGCAGAUAUCCAGUGAACUUUUCCUUAUCGGCAGGUGAGAAGAAGGGAAAUAGUUCAUAUGGGUCUGGUGUAUUUCCAUAUCCUGAGGGGGAUCCUUUUUUUUGGAUUAUUUCUUUUAUUACCAUUUAGGUAGGGGAGUUUACAGUAGUUAUAACUGAAGAUCAUGUUGGCAUCAGCGAUUUAACUCGUCAUUUCUAUGUUACAGCUGAGAAGUUGGCAGGGGAAGUAAAUGGAAGGGGGAUGUGGUUGAAGGAAUGGGGGAUAGAUGAUGGCAAGGAGAUGCAAUGAAGUAAUCUUUCAAUACAUAACCGUACAAUUUGAUUGAUUAACAUGUGUACUUAUAAUCUGAUGGUUUGUAUCCUCUUUUGUCAUUUAAAUAAUAAACUAGUGUAAAUUAGUCAUGUUUGGUGAUGUAUUUAUCAGGUCAUUACAUGGGGAGUCAGUAAAAUUGCGCAUUAAGUUAUGUACAGCAGAUGGAUAUGGCUUGUUGGCUAUUUCUAUAGUUAUGUGCCCUCUAAUAGCAAAUUUACUUGAAGGGGAGUAUUUUUCUGAGGUCCACAAUGAUAUCAUUUCUGUUUGGGAGGAUAAACCAACUGCUUUUAUUGUCCUACUGACUGGUUAUGUUGCAGGAGGCAUAACUGGUAUUAUUGAACCAUCAACAGUGAGACUUUUAAUCAUUAACAAUUUAUUCAAUGCUAUCAAUUAAUAUGUUGUUGCUA
Non-coding RNA from Phoenix dactylifera (date palm), 1860 nucleotides. The record is from RefSeq and is a predicted model, not a curated record. NCBI's taxonomy places the organism in Eukaryota, Viridiplantae, Streptophyta, Magnoliopsida, Arecales, Arecaceae.